GGGCCCGCACAAGCGGUGGAGCAUGUGGUUUAAUUCGAUGCAACGCGAAGAACCUUACCAGGUCUUGACAUCCCACGAAUCCUCUUGAAAGGGAGGAGUGCCUUCGGGAGCGUGGAGACAGGUGGUGCAUGGUUGUCGUCAGCUCGUGUCGUGAGAUGUUGGGUUAAGUCCCGCAACGAGCGCAACCCUUGCUAUUAGUUGCUAACAGUUAAAGCUGAGCACUCUAAUGGGACUGCCGGUGACAAGCCGGAGGAAGGUGGGGAUGACGUCAAAUCAUCAUGCCCUUUAUGACCUGGGCUACACACGUGCUACAAUGGAUGGUACAGAGAGCGGCGAGGCAGUGAUGCGGAGCGAAUCUCAAAAAGCCAUUCUCAGUUCGGAUUGUAGUCUGCAACUCGACUACAUGAAGUCGGAAUCGCUAGUAAUCGCGAAUCAGCAUGUCGCGGUGAAUGCGUUCCCGGGCCUU
RNAcentral lists this ribosomal RNA (466 nucleotides) under uncultured bacterium. Its description in RNAcentral is "bacterial SSU rRNA". It matches the Rfam family "Bacterial small subunit ribosomal RNA", at positions 917 to 1382 of the family's 1533-position model. The record is from RNAcentral.